RNAcentral lists this ribosomal RNA (119 nucleotides) under Rosa chinensis. The record is from RNAcentral. Lineage: Eukaryota; Viridiplantae; Streptophyta; Magnoliopsida; Rosales; Rosaceae.
GGGUGCGAUCAUACCAGCAAUAAUGCACCGGAUCCCAUCAGAACUCCGAAGUUAAGCUUGCUUGGGAGAGCAGUACUAGGAUGGGUGACCUCCUGGGAAGUCCUCGUGUUGCACCCCUC